RNAcentral lists this ribosomal RNA (635 nucleotides) under Amphistegina lobifera. Its description in RNAcentral is "SSU rRNA". It matches the Rfam family "Eukaryotic small subunit ribosomal RNA", at positions 1176 to 1804 of the family's 1831-position model. Lineage: Eukaryota; Foraminifera; Rotaliida; Amphisteginidae. The record is from RNAcentral.
GUGGAGCAUGUGGCUUAAUUUGACUCAACGCGGGGAAUCUUACUAGGUCCGGACCGAGUUUAUGAUUGUCGUGCCGUGGGGCAUUACACGAUUACUGGAUGAGUGGUGCAUGGCCGUUCUUAGUUCGUGGUGUUAAUUGUCUACUUAAUUGUUUCUAGUUCCCGUAUCUCUCGGUGCGGAACAAAUAACGAACGAGAUCGAGACCCGUGGUUGCGUUGAGUGGUACAUCGUAAACUACGGGGAUCGCGUAAUACUCCACGGUACGAUUGAAAGACUCGGCAAUAACAGGUCUGUGAUGCCCUCAGAUGUUCUAGGCUGCACACGUGCUACAUUGUGAGUUUCGUAGUAUGUAUGUAUGCGUAGAUAUCUAUGGUCUAAGAUCCCCCGCAUCGAGUCAUAAUCAUUCACGUGGUUGGACUCACCGAUUGUCAAUUAUUCGGUAUCUCAACUAGGAAUGCCUCGUACUGUGACAGGUUCAACGAGACCCACUGGAAUCCGUCCCUGCCCUUUGUACACACCGCCCGUCGCUCUUACCGAUGGGUGUGGUUGUUAGCAUAGAUGAGUAUUGUUUUAUACGGUGCGACUCUACGCAUGCAACCACGCCUAAAGGAAAGAGAAGUCGUAACAAGGCAUCG